CUGGCGGAGUGCUUAACACAUGCAAGUCGAACGAGAUCCAUUCAGUAGCAAUACUGAUGAAGAUCUAGUGGCGAAGGGUGCGUAACACGUGAGGAACUUGUCCCGGUCUCUGGGAUAACAGUGGAAACGACUGCUAAUACCGGAUGACGUCGGAACUUCGCAUGGAGUACUGACGAAAGGGUUACUGGAUCGGGAGAGCCUCGCGGCCUAUCAGCUUGUUGGUGGGGUAAUAGCCUACCAAGGCAUCGACGGGUAGCUGGUCUGAGAGGAUGAUCAGCCACACUGGGACUGAGACACGGCCCAGACUCCUACGGGAGGCAGCAGUGGGGAAUCUUGCACAAUGGGCGAAAGCCUGAUGCAGCAACGCCGCGUGCGGGAAGAAGGCCCUCGGGUUGUAAACCGCUUUCAGAAGGAACGAAACUGACGGUACUUUCAGAAGAAGGUGCGGCCAACUACGUGCCAGCAGCCGCGGUGACACGUAGGCACCAAGCGUUGUCCGGAUUUAUUGGGCGUAAAGAGCUCGUAGGCGGUUCAGUAAGUCGGGUGUGAAAACUUUGGGCUUAACCCAAAGCGUGCAUCCGAUACUGCUGUGACUUGAGUUCGGUAGGGGAGCGGGGAAUUCCUAGUGUAGCGGUGAAAUGCGCAGAUAUUAGGAGGAACACCGGUGGCGAAGGCGCCGCUCUGGGCCGAAACUGACGCUGAGGAGCGAAAGCAUGGGUGGCAAACAGG
Molecule: ribosomal RNA, 729 nt
Filed under: uncultured bacterium
Lineage: Bacteria
Description: bacterial SSU rRNA
Rfam family: Bacterial small subunit ribosomal RNA
Source: RNAcentral